RNAcentral lists this long non-coding RNA (729 nucleotides) under Homo sapiens (human). RNAcentral's name for it is "HSALNT0064648". Lineage: Eukaryota; Metazoa; Chordata; Mammalia; Primates; Hominidae. The record is from RNAcentral.
AUGGGUUAAUAUGCUAGAAGUUGAGUGUGCUUGGACAACACUUUAUGAGCUGAAUGAUGAGGGAAGGCUCUCUGUAGAGAAGGGGACAUCUGAGCUGAGAACCUGAAUUACUCACAGGAAGGGGCCAGUUCUGCAUUCUUGGCAAAGAGAAGAGCUGGUGCCCAGACAUUGUGACUGAAGAGGCCAGGCAUUUCCACAGGGUGGAAGAAUAGUGGGUCUAAAUUCCCACAACCAAGAUGAGAAUGGAUGGCCGAUACUAGGCAUGCAUGUGCAUACAGAAAAGAGAGUAACCCAAUAGUGAGGAAGAAAUUGAUGCUGCAGGAGAGAGGGAAUAAUUGCCGAAGCAAAGAUCUUGAGGUACUGAGAAAGGAUGACCCUAAUUUCCUUAAUGCUGCAGCCUGCUUCCACUGAGGGACUGGAGGCUCCUUGAGCAAAAUUAUCUACCUCUUCACCUUUGGAUCUUUCACAGUUCCCAGUUCGGUGUACUACAGAUUGUACUUGCUAAAUAAAAAAUCAUUGUCAUGGUUUACCUAAAUGCCUGAAGUGUUAAUAAUAAAAAAAAAACCCUUUAUUCCCUCCCAUACACUUUAUAAAUCUACAGGAUUAGAGAAACAGAAUCAUCUAGACAUUUCUGGUGGUAAUGGAAAAUUGUUCAACCACUCUGGAAAAUUGUUUGGCAUUUUCCUAUAAAACUAAACAUGAAAUUACCAUAUGACCCAGAAAUUGCAC